RNAcentral lists this ribosomal RNA (728 nucleotides) under uncultured bacterium. RNAcentral's name for it is "bacterial SSU rRNA". It matches the Rfam family "Bacterial small subunit ribosomal RNA", at positions 28 to 776 of the family's 1533-position model. The record is from RNAcentral.
GAUGAACGCUGGCGGCGUGCUUAACACAUGAAGUCGAGCGAGAGAGUUCCUUCGGGAACAAUCUAGCGGCGGACGGGUGAGUAACACGUGGGCAACCUGCCUCAUAGAGGGGAAUAGCCUCCCGAAAGGGAGAUUAAUACCGCAUAAUAUCAUUGGGUGGCAUCAUUUAAUGAUUAAAGGAGUAAUCCGCUAUGAGAUGGGCCCGCGGCGCAUUAGCUAGUUGGUGAGGUAACGGCUCACCAAGGCGACGAUGCGUAGCCGGCCUGAGAGGGUGAUCGGCCACAUUGGGACUGAGACACGGCCCAGACUCCUACGGGAGGCAGCAGUGGGGAAUAUUGCACAAUGGGGGAAACCCUGAUGCAGCAACGCCGCGUGAGUGAUGAAGGUCUUCGGAUUGUAAAGCUCUGUCUUCAGGGACGAUAAUGACGGUACCUGAGGAGGAAGCCACGGCUAACUACGUGCCAGCAGCCGCGGUAAUACGUAGGUGGCAAGCGUUAUCCGGAUUUACUGGGCGUAAAGGGAGCGUAGGCGGAUAAUUAAGUGGGAUGUGAAAUACCCGGGCUCAACUUGGGUGCUGCAUUCCAAACUGGUUAUCUAGAGUGCAGGAGAGGAGAGUGGAAUUCCUAGUGUAGCGGUGAAAUGCGUAGAGAUUAGGAAGAACACCAGUGGCGAAGGCGACUCUCUGGACUGUAACUGACGCUGGCUCGAAAGCGUGGGGAGCAAACAGG